GGUCCAUUGGUCUAGUGGUAUGAUUCUCGCUUAGGGUGCGAGAGGCCCCGCGUUCGAAUCGCGGAUGGACCC
This 72-nucleotide transfer RNA is filed under the name Glarea lozoyensis 74030. Its description in RNAcentral is "tRNA-Pro (AGG) (tRNA-Pro-AGG-1-1)". It matches the Rfam family "tRNA". Rfam says of the family: Transfer RNA (tRNA) molecules are approximately 80 nucleotides in length. Their secondary structure includes four short double-helical elements and three loops (D, anti-codon, and T loops). The record is from RNAcentral. RNAcentral also lists the same sequence under 1 other name. Lineage: Eukaryota; Fungi; Ascomycota; Leotiomycetes; Helotiales; Helotiaceae.